This 237-nucleotide long non-coding RNA is filed under the name Gallus gallus (chicken). Lineage: Eukaryota; Metazoa; Chordata; Aves; Galliformes; Phasianidae. The record is from RNAcentral.
CCUCCAAUGACAUAGACAAGGUCCUUGUGUGAUACCACUGCGUGGCCGUAGACUGCAUAGGGAAGGGAAUCAGCUUCACCCCACUUGAAGGACAGGCGGUCGUAGCACAGCACCGAAUCCAAGGUCUUCUCUCCCUCCUUCAGCUCUUUCCCUCCGACCACAAAAAUGGAGUUUUCUGCCUCUCCCAGGCCAAAGAGGCAGCGAGGGGAGGGCAAGGGGGGCAUCCCCAGCCAGUCC